GAUGAACGCUGGCGGCGUGCCUAAUACAUGCAAGUCGAGCGAACAGACGAGGAGCUUGCUCCUCUGACGUUAGCGGCGGACGGGUGAGUAACACGUGGAUAACCUACCUAUAAGACUGGGAUAACUUCGGGAAACCGGAGCUAAUACCGGAUAAUAUAUUGAACCGCAUGGUUCAAUAGUGAAAGACGGUUUUGCUGUCACUUCUAGAUGGAUCCGCGCCGCAUUAGCUAGUUGGUAAGGUAACGGCUUACCAAGGCGACGAUGCGUAGCCGACCUGAGAGGGUGAUCGGCCACACAGGAACUGAGACACGGUCCAGACUCCUACGGGAGGAAGCAGUAGGGAAUCUUACGCAAUGGGCGAAAGCCUGAAGGAGAAACGCCGCGUGAGUGAUGAAGGUCUUCGGAUCGUAAAACUCUGUUAUUAGGGAAGAACAAAUGUGUAAGUAACUAUGCACGUCUUGACGGUACCUAAUCAGAAAGCCACGGCUAACUACGUG
This 497-nucleotide ribosomal RNA is filed under the name uncultured bacterium. RNAcentral's name for it is "partial 16S ribosomal RNA". It matches the Rfam family "Bacterial small subunit ribosomal RNA", at positions 28 to 507 of the family's 1533-position model. The record is from RNAcentral.